CUACGGGUGGCUGCAGUGAGGAAUAUCGCACAAUGGGGGGAACCCUGAUGCAGCAACGCCGCGUGGAGGAUGACGCAUUUCGGUGUGUAAACUCCUUUUAUAUGUCAAGAAAAUGACGGUAGCAUAUGAAUAAGCACCGGCUAACUCCGUGCCAGCAGCCGCGGUAAUACGGAGGGUGCAAGCGUUACUCGGAAUCACUGGGCGUAAAGGACGCGUAGGCGGGUUGGAAAGUCAGGUGUGAAAUCCUACAGCUUAACUGUAGAACUGCACUUGAAACUUCUAAUCUAGAGUAUGGGAGGGGGAGAUGGAAUUAGUGGUGCAGGGGUAAAAUCCGUAGAUAUAACUAGGAAUACCUAAAGCGAAGGCGAUCUCCUGGAACAUUACUGACGCUAAGGCGUGAAAGCGUGGGGAGCAAACAGGAAUAGAUACCCCUGUAGUC
This 439-nucleotide ribosomal RNA is filed under the name uncultured bacterium. RNAcentral's name for it is "partial 16S ribosomal RNA". It matches the Rfam family "Bacterial small subunit ribosomal RNA", at positions 339 to 795 of the family's 1533-position model. The record is from RNAcentral.